GUUCCGACUCGGUUUGUGUGAACAGAAGGAGAAGCAAAGAUCUGAUCAGUGUAAGUUGAUCAUUCUCCAUUUGAUGAGACCUGAAACUUUUUCACCUCACCCCGCAUGAGGACAUAAAAUGGAAGUCAUGUAACACUGUCGUUUGAAAAAUGGAUUUUCUGUGUCAUUCAUGUUU
Xiphophorus hellerii (green swordtail) is the source of this 175-nucleotide long non-coding RNA. RefSeq lists it as uncharacterized. The record is from RefSeq and is a predicted model, not a curated record. NCBI's taxonomy places the organism in Eukaryota, Metazoa, Chordata, Actinopteri, Cyprinodontiformes, Poeciliidae. The transcript has 2 exons.